RNAcentral lists this long non-coding RNA (2796 nucleotides) under Homo sapiens (human). Its description in RNAcentral is "PREDICTED lncRNA (TCONS_00024116)". The record is from RNAcentral. Lineage: Eukaryota; Metazoa; Chordata; Mammalia; Primates; Hominidae.
AAGGGUGAAAAGGGGAAAACUGCAUAGAAAGACUGGAGAACCUCCCCCUCCGGAUAAAUAACGCCCCGUGUUGUUAAGGACGCCACCUUCUUUGUUGCUCAUGUCGUCACAGCCUACGGUGAGACGAGCGGAGACUGAAGGACCUGGAGCAAGAGGAGUGCGCGAGGUACAGGCCGAGGGAACCUGGGAAAACAGCCUGCAGAAAAACGCUUUGCAGCCGGGCCGACUACAACGCAGUGGCCGGAAGUCUCCUCUCACGUACUUCCGGCCUGCGUCCGGAGGGGAGGGGAGGCCGUCGCCGCUGGCUCCGCCCACCGCGUGGUCCAAGGACCACCACCCGCCACCGCCGCGCGAGCGUACUAUUGCGGCCGCCCUCUGCUGCGCCUGAAGAGAGAGGCGACUCUACAAGCCUCACAGCAUGCACUGUUACUAAAAAGACGAUGCGUCCUCCUGGACCUGAGAUCUGUGUGAUCGUGGGAAAGCGACGAAAAACGAACAAAGGAACAGUAAAUGGAGUAACUUGGCUAGAAUAUGGCAGUAACUACAAGGCAUGUUCUGCUCUGGCACGAAGAUGCAGUCUCGCUCUGUCACCCAGGCUGGAGUGCAAUGGCACGAUCUUGGCUCACUGCAACCUCUGCCUCCCAGGUUCAAGCGAUUCUUCUGCCUCAGCCUCCUGAGUAGCUGGGAUUACAGACAACCCACCUGAGGCACCAGACACAUGAGUGAAGCCAUCUUGGACAUCCCAGUCACAGCCAAACUCACUCCUGAGUGCAUCUGCAUGAUGAACCCAGCAAUCCCCACCAUGGAGCAAAGGAUCCAUCCAGUCAACCCAAAGAAUCGUGAAAAAUAAUAAAUUGUUGUUUUAAAGUUCUUCAGUUUGGGAAUAGCUUGUUAUGCAACAAUACAUAAUUAAUACACUGGUCUCCCACUUUCAAGUUUGAUUAACUUUCAGCUAUUUUUCACAUAGCAGGCAGAGUGAUUCCAUUAAAACAUAUAUCAGAUAAUGUCACUGCACUAAGUAAACUCUACAAGGACUCUCAUCUCCCUCAGAGUAAAGGUCACAGUUGUUACAAGGCCCUACGUAAUGUGGCCCUCACCACCACUCCAUUACCUUUUUCUUAUCUACUAUUUGCUAACUUUGCUUUGUCCUCUUUUCUGUUCUGAAACAGGCUAGGCAUGGUCCUGCCUCAAGGCCUUUGCACCACCUACUCUGUCUGCUUGGAUUGUUCUUCCCACAGAUUUCUUGCUCCCUUCUUCCUUCAUGAAGAAAUGUCAUGAAAUGUCCUUCCUUCAUGAAAUGUCACCUUCUCAUUUGAGGCCUUCUGUAGUACCCCAAAGAAUGGUCCCCAAAGAUGUCCACAUCCUUAUGCCCAGAACCUGUGAAUGUGUUAUCUUAAUGGCAAAAGUGACUUUGCAAAUGUGAUUAUAUUUAAGGAUCUUAAGGAGGAGAUUAUCCUGGAUUAUCCAGGAGGGCCCAAUGUAAUCACAAGGGCCCUUAUAAGUGAAAGGGGGAGGCAACAGAGAGAAGGAGAUGUCAUAAUGAAAACAGAUCCAAGUGAUGAGAUUGCUGGCUGGGGUGGAGGUGGAGGGGGGUACAAUCCAAGGAAUGCAAGAAGCCUCUAAAAGCUAGGAAAUGUCAGGACACAAAUUCUCCCCUAGAACCUGAGGAAGAAACCCAGGUUUAUGGACACUGAUUUUAACCCAAUAAGUCCCUUUUCUGACUGCUGACCUCCAAAACUGUAAGAUAAUAAAUUUGUGUUAUUUUAAGCCAACUGAGUUUGAGAUAAUUUAGUUAUGGCAGCAAUAGGAAACUAGCACACCUUCCUAGCCAUCCUAUCUAAAAUGGCAACCCAUGUCCUUCCUGGCACUUCCUAUCUCCCUUCCAUGUUUUUUUUAAAUCAUAUAUACAAUAUAUUUUACUGUUUUACCUAUUGUCUUUUCCACCAGAAAGUAAACUCCACGUAAAUAAGGAUUGUCUGUUUUAUUCUUUGCAGUAUCUCCACUGCCUAGGAUAGCAUCUGCACAUACUGCACACUCAGUACACAUUUGUCGAAUGAGGUCAGGCGCGGUGGUUCACACCUGUAAUCCCAGCACUUUGGGAGGCCAAGGCGGGUGGAUCACCUUAGGUUAGGAGUUCGAGACCAGCCUGGCCAACAUGGUGAAACCAUGUCUCUACUAAAAAUACAAAAAGUAGUUGGGCAUGGUGGCAUGUGCCUGUAAUCCCAGCUACUUGGGAGGCUGUGGCAGGAGAGUCACUUGAAUCUGGGAGGUGGAGGUUGCAGUGAGCCAAGAUUGUGCCACUCCACUCCAGCCUGGGCAACAGAGUAAGACUCUGGCUCAAAAAAAAAAAAAAAGAAAGAAAGAAAAAAAUACAUAUUUGUUGAAUGAACAAGUGAAUGAACAAAUGUUAUGCAAAUAUAUUAUCCCUAUCUGUAGCUUGCCUUUUAAUUUUGUUAUAGUAACUUUGGUUGAAAGGAAGUUCUAAAAUCUUUAAUAUAAUCAAAUGUAUCAAUCUUUUCAACUUGUAUAUUUUAUGCCUUGUUUAAUCAACUCUGUCUUAUAUCAAAAUUAUAAAAGUAUUACCCUGUAUUUUCUUAUAAAAGUUUUGAAUCUUUUCUUUUUCCACUUAGAUCAUUAAUCAACUUGGAAUUGGUGUUACAUAGUGGUAAAUGAUUGUCCCAGGACCACAUAUUGAAUAUUUUAUCAUUUCUCCACUGAUUUGUAACAACACAGUGGUUAUAUAUCCUGUUUAUACAUGGGUCUGUCUCUAGGUUUCCGGUUCUGUUCCAGUGGUCU